RNAcentral lists this transfer-messenger RNA (354 nucleotides) under Neotabrizicola shimadae. RNAcentral describes it as "Alphaproteobacteria transfer-messenger RNA". It matches the Rfam family "Alphaproteobacteria transfer-messenger RNA". From Rfam's summary of the family: Bacterial tmRNA, also known as 10Sa RNA or SsrA, is named for its dual tRNA and mRNA-like properties. Its role is to liberate the mRNA from a stalled ribosome. To accomplish this part of the tmRNA is used as a reading frame that ends in a translation stop signal. The record is from Rfam by way of RNAcentral. Lineage: Bacteria; Pseudomonadati; Pseudomonadota; Alphaproteobacteria; Rhodobacterales; Paracoccaceae.
GGCGUUGCAGGUCUGAGCGGCGCGCCCUAUAUUGGGCCUGUCCGGGGCAACCCGGACUAUGGCGAUAAACGCACCUGCAAUAGACGGCUCGGACCCGGGGGCGGUACCCGGCGGCUCCACCAAACCCCGCGGCGUUGCGCGGUCAUGGGGCCGAAACAGGAUCGACGGACGUUCAAAGAGGCCAGCUUUCGCUCGGUGAGCUACCACCGUUAUCGGUGCAAAAGUACAGUUGCCAACGACAACCGUGCUCCGGUGGCUCUGGCUGCGUAAGCAGUUCGAGUACCGAAAACUAAGCCCUUGCGCUUAGCCGCGUAAGGCGGGGUUCGCAGGCACCUGGCAACAGAAGCCUGCACU